Schistosoma mansoni is the source of this 45-nucleotide non-coding RNA. The record is from Rfam. Lineage: Eukaryota; Metazoa; Platyhelminthes; Trematoda; Strigeidida; Schistosomatidae.
AAUCAACUGACGAGUCUCAUGUAGGACGAAACACGCGUCUUGAAU